This 397-nucleotide ribosomal RNA is filed under the name uncultured prokaryote. RNAcentral describes it as "partial 16S ribosomal RNA". The record is from RNAcentral.
CCCUACGGGGUGCACCAGAAAGAGUUGAACUACCAGUAAUUACAUCAAUAUCGCUUGCAUAAAUAUAACUACCGCUAAAAACAGCAACUUUAUUUCUUCCAAAAUCAGUUAAACCAUAUUCAAGUGAACCAGUAAAAGCACCGUUAACGUUACUACCACUGGUCAUAAAAAUAAACAUGCCAAAAUCAAAGGUUUUCUUACUAUACAUCAUAGAACCAGAAGGUAAGAAAACAAAACUUCCUGACUUCGUUGGUAGACUACCAUCAGAACCAGUUACUAAAAUCCAAUUAUUUAAAUCAGUAAAAGUAUCCUUAAAUAAAUAACGACCGCUUGCAAUUUCUGUAUAAGGAUUAACGUAUUCAUUGCCUACGUUUGGAAAAGGAAUUGGCGGGAGAGC